This 341-nucleotide ribosomal RNA is filed under the name uncultured bacterium. RNAcentral describes it as "partial 16S ribosomal RNA". It matches the Rfam family "Bacterial small subunit ribosomal RNA", at positions 338 to 696 of the family's 1533-position model. The record is from RNAcentral.
CCUACGGGUGGCAGCAGUAGGGAAUAUUGCUCAAUGGGGGAAACCCUGAUGCAGCAACGCCGCGUGGAGGAUGAAGGUUUUCGGAUUGUAAACUCCUUUUGUUAGAGAAGAUAAUGAUGGUAUCUAACGACUAAGCACCGGCUAAAUACGUGCCAGCAGCCGCGGUAAUACGGAGGGUGCACGCGUUACUCGGAAGCACUGGGCGUAAAGAGCGCGUAGGCGGGAUAGCAAGUCAGAUGUGCAAGCCUAUGGCUUAACCAUAGAAUUGCAUUUGAUACUGGGAUUCUAGAGUAUGGGAGAGGUAGGUGGAAUUCUUGGUGUAGGGGUAAAAUCCGUAGAGA